ACGGGAGGCAGCAGUGGGGAAUAUUGGGCAAUGGGCGAAAGCCUGACCCAGCAACGCCGCGUGAAGGAAGAAGGUCUUCGGAUUGUAAACUUCUUUUAUCAGGGACGAAGAAAGUGACGGUACCUGAUGAAUAAGCCACGGCUAACUACGUGCCAGCAGCCGCGGUAAUACGUAGGGAGCGAGCGUUGUCCGGAAUUACUGGGUGUAAAGGGUGCGUAGGCGGGGAUGCAAGUCAGAUGUGAGAUGUAUGGGCUCAACCCAUGAACUGCAUUUGAAACUGCAACUCUUGAGUGAGGUAGAGGUAAGCGGAAUUCCUAGUGUAGCGGUGAAAUGCGUAGAUAUUAGGAGGAACAUCGGUGGCGAAGGCGGCUUACUGGGCCUUUACUGACGCUGAGGCACGAAAGCGUGGGGAGCAAACAGGAUUAGAUACCCUGGUA
RNAcentral lists this ribosomal RNA (437 nucleotides) under uncultured Ruminococcus sp. RNAcentral describes it as "partial 16S ribosomal RNA". It matches the Rfam family "Bacterial small subunit ribosomal RNA", at positions 341 to 792 of the family's 1533-position model. The record is from RNAcentral. Lineage: Bacteria; Bacillati; Bacillota; Clostridia; Eubacteriales; Oscillospiraceae.